AGCAGCCGCGGUAAUUCCAGCUCCAAUAGCGUAUAUUAAAGUUGUUGCAGUUAAAAAGCUCGUAGUUGAAUUUCGGGGUCAGUAGGUCGGUCGUGCCACUGGUAUGAACUGGUUUUACUGAUUCCUCCCUCUUGAAGAACUGUAAUGCCAUUAAUUUGGUGUUGCAGGGAAUCAGGACUGUUACUUUGAAAAAUUAGAGUGUUUAAAGCAGGCUUUAGCUUGAAUACAUUAGCAUGGAAUAAUGAAAUAGGACGUUUGAUCCUAUUUUGUUGGUUUCUAGGAUUGACGUAAUGAUUAAUAGGGAUA
RNAcentral lists this ribosomal RNA (306 nucleotides) under uncultured Glomus. Its description in RNAcentral is "SSU rRNA". It matches the Rfam family "Eukaryotic small subunit ribosomal RNA", at positions 569 to 880 of the family's 1831-position model. The record is from RNAcentral. Lineage: Eukaryota; Fungi; Glomeromycota; Glomeromycetes; Glomerales; Glomeraceae.